Non-coding RNA from Pelecanus crispus (Dalmatian pelican), 1589 nucleotides. The record is from Rfam. Lineage: Eukaryota; Metazoa; Chordata; Aves; Pelecaniformes; Pelecanidae.
AUGAGUUGUUGAGGGACUUUGGACCCUCUAGUUCCCGACAGGAGAAGGUGGCUCGAAGAUUAUCAAACUGAGCCCUAUUCUCCUCCAUUGACAUUGUACAUGUUUGUUAGUAAAGUCGAACUAUUUUAAGGUCUUAAUAUUGUAGUUGAUUUGGUUUUCUAUUUAAGGUGGGAGCUGAACCCCAUUUUUUAAGGGCAACAAAAGCUUGGUUGAAGGUUGGUUCUCAGAUAGGGUGAGAUAGUAUGUAGGGAUCUUGGGGCUCAGGAUCAUGAUGCGUUACAUCCAAAUUCCCACCUAAGACAUUAACUACUGGUCUUGACCAAGGUGGACAGGCUACCUUUACUUAACCCUGGAAAGGAACAUGUAUAAUUUAUAUAUGUUCGUUAAAUAGCCAAAUACCUCAUCUUCUAAUUAGUGACAUGCAUGAAUGGAUGAACGAGAUUCCCACUGUCCCUACCUACUAUCCAGCGAAACCACAGCCAGGCCUUGGUGGAGUCAGCGGGGAAAGAAGACUCUGCUGAGCCUGACUCUAGUCUGGUGCUGUGAAGAGAUGAGAGGUGUGGAGUAAGUGGGAGGCCGGGUGUGCGCUCAGCGGUGUGGGGCGACCUGCCUGCCGGCGUCCCGGCCGUCAGUGAAAUACCACUACUCUGAUCGUUUUUUCACUUACCCAGUGAGGCGGGGAAGCAAGCCCCGAGGAGGGCUCUUUCUUCUGGUGCCAAGUGCCUGGUGCGCGCCGGGCGCAACCCGCUCCAGGAACAGCGGUAGGUGGGGAGUUUGACUGGGACAGUACACCUGUCAAAGCAUAACGCAGGUGUCCUAAGGUGAGCUCAGGGAGGACAGAAACCUCCCGCAGAGCAGAAGGGCAAAAGCUCUCUUGAUCUUGAUUUUCAAUACGAAUACAGACCGUGAAAGCAGGGCCUCACAAUCCUUCUGGUUUGGCUUUUUAGGUUUUAAGCAGGAGGUGUCAGAAAAGUUACCACAGGGCUAACUGGCUUGUGGCAGCCAAGAGUUCAUAGUGACGUUGCCUUUUGAUCCUUCGAUGUCAGCUCCACCUAUCAUUGUGAAGCAGAAUUCACCAAGCGUUGGAUUGUUCACCCACUAAUAGGGAACAUGAGCUGGGUUUAGACCAUCAUGAGACAGGUAAGUUUUACCCUACUGAUGAUGUGUUGUUGCAAUAGUAAUCCUGCUCAGUACAAGAGGAACUGCAGGUUCAGACCCCUGGUGCGUGUGCUUGGCUGAGGAGCCACUGGCGCGAGGCUGCCAUGUGCGGGCAUAUGACUGAACGCCUCUAAGUCAGAAUCCCGCCUAGACGUAGUGAUACAACAGUGCCACUGGUGCCUUGGCGGGCUAGCGACAGCUAGCUGCCUGCCCCCACGCAGGGCAGGCCCAGUGCGGAGCGCCUCUUGUAGUCAGGACCAGAGGGGUGGACAGAUGUGGCGCCACCUCUCCCCCGUCGCGUACCGCAUGAUCGUGGGGCACCCGGCACUAAAUCAUUUGUAGAUGACCUGAUUCUGGGUCAGGGUUUUGUAGGUAGCAGAGCAGCUCCCUCACUGUGAUCUAUUGAGAAACAGCCCUCCACACAAGCUUUU